GAAAUGCGAUAAGUAGUGUGAAUUGCAGAAUUCAGUGAAUCAUCGAAUCUUUGAACGCACAUUGCGCCCCUUGGUAUUCCAUGGGGCAUGCCUGUUCGAGCGUCAUUUGUACCCUCAAGCUCUGCUUGGUGUUGGGUGUUUGUCCCGUCUCCGCGCGUGGCCUCGCCCCAAAGUGAUUGGCAGCCGGCGUACUGGUCCCGGAGCGCAGCACAUGUCGCGCAAACGAGUGCCUUGGUACGGCGGCGUCCAUAAGCCCCUCUCUCACGCUCUUGACCUCGGAUCAGGUAGGGAUACCCGCUGAACUUAAGC
Molecule: unclassified non-coding RNA, 309 nt
Filed under: plant metagenome
Description: partial contains 5.8S ribosomal RNA, internal transcribed spacer 2, and large subunit ribosomal RNA
Rfam family: 5.8S ribosomal RNA (bases 1-105)
Source: RNAcentral